GAGCUGCUACCAACAUUUACUGCAUGCAGCUCUGUGCCAGGCUCUUCACAUGUUUUCUUUAACUCUUACAACCUUGUUCAGCAGGUAUUACUGUUUGCAUUUUAAGAAUAGGCAAACUGAGACUCAUUCAAUUUGCCCCAGGUCACAACCAGUAAACAAUAACUUUAAAGGCCCUUUGAAGUUGAGUCUUCAUCUAUCUUUCCAGUCUUACUUCCUGCAUGUCCUUACCCCUGACAUCUGCUUACACUGGAAGUUUUAGCCACACAAGCUUCUUGCUUUCCUGGGAUAUACCACAUGCUUUAUACACAUCCCUAUCUAUGCACAUUCUGUUCCCUUGGUCUGGAAUGCAUUUCUACAGCUCUCUGCCUGCAGCUGUUAUUUGCAAAGGCACAGUGUGCCUGGCUCAGUUGCAAGAUGUGCAGUAAGUGCUGCUAAUAAUAAGGUACUUAGGUUUGUGAAUAGCUCUCUUAAAACAAAGAGAGAGAAUUCAAGGUUAGCCCUGUCCCAAUGUCUCCUUCAGUGACUGACAUUCUAAUCUCUGUGGAGUGGGUCAGAGAGGUGAAGACACAGCUGACAUGCUGAGAAGGGGUGUAACCUGGGGCCUGCUGUCUCGUCUCUGCUAUGGCCGGUAGUGAGCAAAAAUUUGUGUUCUGUGAUCUUACUGUUGUAUGUGUCUUCUACUGAAAAUUACUGACGGAUACAGUUCUUAUUAAUACAAGAACACAAGGAUGAAUGAAGAACAGAGAGCCUUUAGGGAAGUAACCUCCACUUCCCAGUUUCAAGCAAUUCUUGUGCCUCAGCCUCCUGAGUAGCUGGAUUACAGAGUUACAUCUCCUCCAGCAUACUGUAAGCAGCCCAGAGGCAGGGACAGCGGUGGAGCAUCACACAGCCUCCACAUGAAAACUGACGUUGGGGAGAACAAUGUUUACUUUGCCAGCAGGGAUGGUAGUAACUGCCGUUGACAUUAUGUCCAACAGUGGCAUUUUGUCAAGAUAGUUCCUUAUCUAUUUUUAAAGAGUUAUUUACCUUUUAUAAAGAUAGUUCAUUCUACUUUGUAAGAACACUAUUAUACUACUCUAUUAUACAUAAAUACAAAGUUAAUAUAUACUAUUAACUUUGUAUUUAUGAACUUAUCCUGAGUUCUUAUAUAUUUAGAUAUUAGUUUCUUCUCAUUUUUAAAUGUCAAGGUAAAAUAUUCAUUAUUAUAAUAAAAUUACAAAUAUGACCAAAAAACAUGCAAAACAUAUGAAGAUACAUCACAUUGGCUGAAAUGAGCUGGACUCUAGUAAAGUAACUGAUAGCGGAAUAUACUGAUUGCUGUGGUCAUUGUACUGCAUGAGCAACCUUGGAGAACAUGGCUAUUAAGAACAUAGUGGUUUUCAAUAAUGUAUCAUAAUUAUAUCAAAUUUCAAAUACAUAGAAUGCACAUACACAAUUUGCUUUAUAUAGCUUUUCUUUCUAAGCUGCCAAACAGCCUCUAGGCCUCUUGUGGACUGCCAAUGUGGAAACCACUGUUGUAAGAUUGCCCCUUUUAGAAAUGAAAUAUGGGGUUGAGCUGGGAGCCUAUGGUCAGGUCCUCUGGAAGCCUUGGCUUUACAAUUCUACUUUACUAUGCUCUCUUAAUUGAUGAAAUAUUAGCUAAUGCAUAUCUACUCUUCCUUCUUUUCAUAUACAAAUCCAUGAAUAUAGUAUUAUUCCCAGUCCUAAUUUCUUAGAGUAGAAAGCCUUGUAGGGUGAUAUAUUACUUAUUGUGUACAGAAACAUUUACAUAUGGAUUUCUAGAUACCUUAAUGGAGGAGAAAAGAACAACAAAAACAACCCUUACAAAUUGAAAUCGAAGGUAUUUAUUUGUAUUUAUCGUCAAGUUGCUUUACGAUAUCAUAUUUCUUGUUAAUUUUAUGUUAAAUUAACAUAUAUUCUGAGACUUUUUGGGUGAUAUCCACAAAAAUCUUUGAUCCCACAAGUAAAUACUCUUGAAGAUAAAGAAAACCCAAGCAAGAAUCACUGUCUUAGAACCAAGUUAUACAUUCAGAUAUAAAAUUAUGUGGGAAGUAUUUCAUAAACUCAGUUCUGUAAUAUUGUUGUUGCUGUUAUUAUUAUUACUAAGCAUUUUAUUUUAAAAUUAAAAUUUAACUUUAAUAAUAACAUUUUAAAAUUAAUUUUAGGAACUAGCUGUAAGGGUCAAAGUGGUCUGACUCUUGUGUUAAGGUCAUGAUGAUGAUUUAGAGUGAGGGCUUUUUAAUCAUUAUGCCUUCUUCAGUUUACUGUCUUCAUUACUAUGAGGAUGACCAGAGUCAUUCUGGGCUCAGCUUCCCAACUGGAGACAUGGCCAACCUCUCAUCUACUUUUGGCAAUUGGCAUUCACAUCUCUGUCAUUGGCUGUCACAAGGACUUGGCCUGGCAUGUUUGAAAACCCCAUGGCUGGGGAGGGUGAUAUGGUAAUCUGGUAGUUCUGAUAUUGUUGGACUAAUUUUAAAAUAGACCAUAUAAAGUUCAUACAAAAGCCAGAGGGAGGAGUUAAACUGGAAAUCCUGACAAAAUCAGUUGCUCAGAUGCUAACAGUCCUGGAAUGGAAACGCUGGGACCAAUCUGUGGUUUUGGCCAUUUCCUCCUGAGAGUUGAGUGGAAGUUUAGAAUAGCCUCUAGUGACCCACGUUUUAAUGAAGAGUAUAUUUUCUUUCAUAACUGAAACUUUGUUUUUUUUUUUUGGUCUCUCUGUUUUUAAAAUUUAUUUACUAGCAAUUAGAAGUGGCUUCUUCUCACCUUUAG
This is a long non-coding RNA of Callithrix jacchus (white-tufted-ear marmoset), 2769 nucleotides long. RefSeq lists it as uncharacterized. The record is from RefSeq and is a predicted model, not a curated record. NCBI's taxonomy places the organism in Eukaryota, Metazoa, Chordata, Mammalia, Primates, Cebidae.